CGAAGGCAGCGUACCGGCGCCACACUGACGCUGAGGCACGAAAGCGUGGGGAUCGAACAGGAUUAGAUACCCUGGUAGUCCACGCAGUAAACGAUGAAUGCUGGUUGUCCGGGUCGAAUGAGACCUGGGCGGCGAAGCGAAAGCGAUAAGCAUUCCACCUGGGGAGUACGCCGGCAACGGUGAAACUCAAAGGAAUUGACGGGGGCCCGCACAAGCGGAGGAACGUGUGGUUUAAUUCGAUGAUACGCGAGGAACCUUACCCGGGCUCAAACGGGAGCGGAAUGGACCAGAGACGGUUCAGCCUACGGGCCGCUUCCGAGGUGCUGCAUGGUUGUCGUCAGCUCGUGCCGUGAGGUGUCGGCUUAAGUGCCAUAACGAGCGCAACCCCCGCCGGCAGUUGCUAACGGGCAAUGCCGAGGACUCUGCCGGGACUGCCGCCGCAAGGCGAGAGGAAGGCGGGGAUGACGUCAAAUCAGCACGGCCCUUACGUCCGGGGCGACACACGUGUUACAAUGGGCGGUACAGCGGGAAGCCAGGCGGCGACGCCGAGCGGAACCCGAAAGCCGUUCUCAGUUCGGAUCGGAGUCUGCAACCCGACUCCGUGAAGCUGGAUUCGCUAGUAAUCGCGCAUCAGCCAUGGCGCGGUGAAUACGUUCCCGGGCCUUGUACACACCGCCCGUCAAGCCAUGGGAGCCGGGGGUGCUUGAAGUGCGUCGCCGCGAGGCGCGCCCUAGAGCAAAACCGGUGACUGGGGCUAAGUCGUAACAAGGUAACCGUAA
RNAcentral lists this ribosomal RNA (779 nucleotides) under uncultured bacterium. Its description in RNAcentral is "bacterial SSU rRNA". It matches the Rfam family "Bacterial small subunit ribosomal RNA", at positions 716 to 1505 of the family's 1533-position model. The record is from RNAcentral.